GGCCCUAUCGUCUAGCCAGGUCUAGGACACCGGGUUUUCAUCCCGGCGACAGGGGUUCGAAUCCCCUUGGGGCUA
RNAcentral lists this transfer RNA (75 nucleotides) under Planctomycetes bacterium GWF2_41_51. Its description in RNAcentral is "tRNA-Glu". It matches the Rfam family "tRNA". From Rfam's summary of the family: Transfer RNA (tRNA) molecules are approximately 80 nucleotides in length. Their secondary structure includes four short double-helical elements and three loops (D, anti-codon, and T loops). Further hydrogen bonds mediate the characteristic L-shaped molecular structure. tRNAs have two regions of fundamental functional importance: the anti-codon, which is responsible for specific mRNA codon recognition, and the 3' end, to which the tRNAs corresponding amino acid is attached (by aminoacyl-tRNA synthetases). tRNAs cope with the degeneracy of the genetic code in two manners: having more than one tRNA (with a specific anti-codon) for a particular amino acid; and 'wobble' base-pairing, i.e. permitting non-standard base-pairing at the 3rd anti-codon position. The record is from RNAcentral. Lineage: Bacteria; Pseudomonadati; Planctomycetota. RNAcentral also lists the same sequence under 1 other name.